RNAcentral lists this unclassified non-coding RNA (308 nucleotides) under Hevea brasiliensis (rubber tree). Lineage: Eukaryota; Viridiplantae; Streptophyta; Magnoliopsida; Malpighiales; Euphorbiaceae. The record is from RNAcentral.
AACAGGGCAACAGGACUCCAAGGAAAUUAACCCACUAAGCUCCCGAAAGAAAUUGCCACUAUUCAGAUAGUUUUGGAAUGCUACAACCAAGCUUCAAAUGCUUCAUACCUCUGUAUGUCCUGAAUUUUGUUUUACAACUUAUUAUAUUGAACAUGAGAAAAAGAUCAAAAAGUACCCUAUGGUAUUGGCAAGAUCGGUGGCGGUAAAUCUUAGACGUUACUCUGCGUGAAUCCAUUUAUAUGAUCUUCAUUUCGUAAGCAGUUCGGUCUGAGAUUCACAAGUCAAAUAAUAGUUCAAUCAAUUUCAGA